RNAcentral lists this ribosomal RNA (295 nucleotides) under Mycobacterium kumamotonense. RNAcentral describes it as "Mycolicibacter kumamotonensis partial 23S ribosomal RNA". It matches the Rfam family "Bacterial large subunit ribosomal RNA", at positions 542 to 841 of the family's 2925-position model. Lineage: Bacteria; Bacillati; Actinomycetota; Actinomycetes; Mycobacteriales; Mycobacteriaceae. The record is from RNAcentral.
AAAAGAACCUGAAACCGUGUACGUACAAGCAGUGGGAGCACCUUCGGGUGUGACUGCGUACCUUUUGUAUAAUGGGUCAGCGACUUAUAUUCUGUAGCAAGGUUAACCGUAUAGGGGAGCCGCAGGGAAACCGAGUCUUAACUGGGCGUUAAGUUGCAGGGUAUAGACCCGAAACCCGGUGAUCUAGCCAUGGGCAGGUUGAAGGUUGGGUAACACUAACUGGAGGACCGAACCGACUAAUGUUGAAAAAUUAGCGGAUGACUUGUGGCUGGGGGUGAAAGGCCAAUCAAACCGG